Non-coding RNA from Biomphalaria pfeifferi, 492 nucleotides. NCBI's taxonomy places the organism in Eukaryota, Metazoa, Mollusca, Gastropoda, Planorbidae. The record is from the annotation of a GenBank genome assembly.
UGAAAACAAUUUCUUCUUUAUUUCUCAGACAAUAAGUUUGUUCAUCUUUAUUUAAUUUACACAUCUAUGUUGAAAAAAAACACUACUGACUAUAGUGUAAAAGAUAUCACAUUAACAAAAAAAAAAGGUAAUGUUAAAAAAAUAAAAUAAAAUUAUGAAAACAAAAAUGUGGAGCAAUGUCAUGGCUUGUAAACAAAUUGGAAUCUUUUGAAACUCAACUUUAUAGUCACGUACAAAAUUGAACUUCUAUGUCAGGGACUAUACUUUCCAGUAACUGACUUUCAGAGCAAGAAGUCAGAGGCAAAGGGCAAGGGAUAUCACAAGUACUGGACUUAGAGGCAAAGAAGAUUACAGACAUUGACUUAAGGACAAAGGAAAUUACAGGUACCAGUACUGGAUUAAAGGGCAAGGGAGAUCACCUGUAGGCCAACUGGAUUGAGAAACAAGGGAGAUCACCUGUAGGCCAACUGGAUUGAGGAACAAAGGAGAUCU